This 522-nucleotide ribosomal RNA is filed under the name uncultured bacterium. RNAcentral describes it as "bacterial SSU rRNA". It matches the Rfam family "Archaeal small subunit ribosomal RNA", at positions 345 to 866 of the family's 1478-position model. The record is from RNAcentral.
AACCUCCGCAAUGUGAGAAAUCGCGACGGGGGGAUCCCAAGUGCCAUUCUUAACGGGAUGGCUUUUCAUUAGUGUAAAGAGCUUUUGGAAUAAGGGCUGGGCAAGACCGGUGCCAGCCGCCGCGGUAACACCGGCAGCUCUAGUGGUAGCAGUUUUUAUUGGGCCUAAAGCGUCCGUAGCCGGUUUAAUAAGUCUCUGGUGAAAUCCUGUAGCUUAACUGUGGGAAUUGCUGGAGAUACUAUUAGACUUGAGACCGGGAGAGGUUAGAGGUACUCCCAGGGUAGAGGUGAAAUUCUGUAAUCCUGGGAGGACCGCCUGUUGCGAAGGCGUCUAACUGGAACGGUUCUGACGGUGAGGGACGAAAGUUAGGGGCGCGAACCGGAUUAGGAUACCCGGGUAGUCCUAACUGUAAACGAUGCGGACUUGGUGUUGGGGUGGCUUUGAGCUGCUCCAGUGCCGAAGGGAAGCUGUUAAGUCCGCCGCCUGGGAAGUACGGUCGCAAGACUAGAAUUUAAAGGAAUU